UACGAAGGGGGCGAGCGUUGUUCGGAAUUACUGGGCGUAAAGGGCGCGUAGGCGGUCCUUCAAGUCAGGCGUGAAAGCCCCGGGCUCAACCUGGGAACCGCGCUUGAGACUGGCGGACUCGAGUUCGGGAGAGGAUGGUGGAAUUCCCAGUGUAGAGGUGAAAUUCGUAGAUAUUGGGAAGAACACCGAUGGCGAAGGCAGCCAUCUGGACCGACACUGACGCUGAGGCGCGAAAGCGUGGGGAGCACACAGG
This 253-nucleotide ribosomal RNA is filed under the name uncultured bacterium. RNAcentral's name for it is "partial 16S ribosomal RNA". It matches the Rfam family "Bacterial small subunit ribosomal RNA", at positions 524 to 776 of the family's 1533-position model. The record is from RNAcentral.